UCUAGAUCUAGUCUAGUAGUAGAGUAGUAGUCUAAGUCUAUUCCUAGUAAAUUAAUUAUUAAUUUAUAGAUCUAGAUCUAUUCUAGACCUAGGGCUAGGUCAAGUAGGUCUAGAGUCUAGUAAUGAUGAAGUUUAUCAGCUGAUGAAGCAGCCCCACCUCCAGCUAAUGUUCAAUGUAGAUCUAGAAUCUAGAACUAGUUUCAGUUUAGCUGUCUCUACAUCAUCUAGAUCUAAAUUAAUCUAAAUCUAAUCAGAUAGAGCCUGCUAGGCACUGAAACAGAACAAUUUCAGAUUUAUUUGUUCCACCAAGAAAUUUGGGUGUCAAACUAGACUUAGUCAGCACUGCAUCUAAUGAGCUGGAAUGUUGUUUUUUUUCAUUGACAAUGACAUUGUUGAAAGUCAGCAAAAUAAAUAGUUUCGGUUUCUUUCAGUUGUGUGAAAGAUUGUGCGUGCUGGGACAAACCUCACUGAGAACAAGAAGAAUUGAAGCGGCCUUAAUCAAGAGGGAAAUGAGGAAAGCUGCCCUGUCUGUCUGAUGCAUACACAUGCACAUGAGUUUUGGCAAAGUCUUCCGCUCUAGCAUUGGCUUGAUUAGCCACACCAGAUUCUGCCCUGUCUCAGGACUAGACCAGAACCAUCUCCCGAAAGAUUUGUCAACCUUGGUAUUGAGUUGCCCAAAGGUGUGUUGUUGUUUGGCCCUCCUGGAACUGGGAAGACUCUGUGUGCCCGUGCUGUGGCCAACAGAACUGAUGCUUGCUUCAUUAGAGUCAUCGGUUCAGAGCUUGUACAGAAAUAUGUGGGGGAAGGUUCCAGGAUGGUCAGAGAAUUGUUUGAAAUGGCUAGAGCUAAAAAAAAAAGCUUGUAUUAAUUCCUUUGAUGAAAUAGAUGCUGUUGGAGGUUUGAUGAUGGAGCUGGUUGAGAUAAUGAAGUACAGCGUACCAUGUUGGAACUGAUCAACCAGUUGGAUGGCUUUGACCCCAGGGGAAACAUCAAGGUGUUGAUGGCCACCAACUGGCCAGAUACUCUUGACCCAGCACUGAUGAGGCCUGGAAGACUUGACAGAAAAAUAGAGUUUGGAUUACCUGACCUUGAAGGCCGUACACAUAUAUUUAAAAUAUAUGCUUGAUCUAUGAGUGUAAAGAAAGAUAUUCCUUAUGCGCUGCUGGCUAGAUUAUGCCCAAACAGUACAGGGCCGUACACAUAUAUAUUUAAAAUACAUGCUAGAUCUAUGAGUGUAGAGAAAGAUAUUCGUUAUGAGCUGCUGGCUAGAUUAUGCCCAAACAGUACAGAUGUUCCUUCAGAGUUGAAAACAACUACAUUCUAGCUUGAACGUCCCACAAGAAGAUGUGGGGUGGCAGCAGGCAGGGGUCUAACCUAGGAUCAUGGAGACCACCAAACGAUAGUCCAGAGUGUAUAUGAUUGAUUGAGUAGACAAAGAAGGGAUGGAUUACUGGAGCUAAAAGAAGGCAUAAUUUAACAAUAGACUACUUUGGAUAUGGAAUGAGAGAGGCUAUAGUGUUGAUUAUAUAAAUAUGUAGGUCUCAGCUGGGGCUGCACAGCCACGGGAAAUACUGCAUUCCUAACUUAUCUUGGGACUUAUUAUAAAGGGUACAAAUGCACUUGGAGCUUUUGAUGGUGUUCUGUUCAAUGCAACUAUUCCCACAUCUCCAGCAGCUGGCUUUGCAGCUAUUGGCGCAGACAGCUAUGGCUUGGAUGAUUUUGAUAAUUAUCUGCUUUCGCUCUUCAAUGCCAUGUUGCAGUUAAUUCCUUGCCACUCCGGUACUGUGUGUGGUACAGAACCUACUUCACAUUUAUUUUUCUAAUUAGACAUUAAGCUUUCCAUGUGCUGAAAUUUAGCAUUGUAGAACGGGAAAUAAAUUGUCUAUGACAGUUCAAAGUGUGUAUACAUUUUUUUUGACGCACCCUGUAUAUAUAUUGUAUUCAGUGAUUUUUUUAUUUUACCAUUUUCUAAUAUUAGUUUGUUAGCUCAAUAACUAUUAAUCUUUUAGAUUGUUAUCUUUCGUAAUGUUAAGACUAGAAAACAAGAUCUCAAAAUUAUAUUUAGGACGAUGAUUACAAUUACUUAGUCAAUUACUUAGAUAAAAUAAUUAUAAAACAAAAGUUAUAUAAAGACAUAAUUAUACAAUGUUUAUGUUUUGUAUGUUCAUAAAAAUGUGUAUAGCAGUGUUAUGGAGUGUGUGUGUGUGUGGGUGUUUCCAAGGUAACCUUGAGAAAUUAGCGAUUGGUUGGUGGAUAUGCAGUGAGGAUGGUGAAAUUACAAAAAUGGUCUAGUGUAAUGCAAAUUACCCAGGGAUCUGAAACUGUACAGACAGGUUUUUUGUAGUGAGUUAGAUUUUGUUUAAAAUACCAUUUUAUAUUAUUGCUACUAGAUUUAUUUCAUUUCAUCUAGGUUAGUAUUAGGGUUAGUGUUAUGUUGUAAUAAAAGUUAUAUUUAGUUUUUUUUCAUAAAAAGAAGAUUUUUCAAGUUUCACAAUUAAAUAUAUAUAUAUAUCCAAGCAGUAGUUCUCACCAAACUUUCAUACACUGGCAGAACUACCUUAAAAAAAAUGUUCUGGUGUGGGUAGUAUAGAAGAAAUACUUAUCAUUCAACAGCUGUGAUGGGUUGGAAAAUUAUCCCACAUGGGGGGUGACUGCAUGCCAAAUGGUAUCUUCAAGGAUGGUGUAAGCUCCUGUAAGCACUAUAAAAUUUAAUUUAGGCACCUUUUUGCCAUAGAGGAAAGUAGGUUGUAAUAGGGUUUAUGAAAACACUGCACUCAUCUUUUAUCUUCAGCAUCAUUAUUAUUAUUAUUAAACUAUUACUCAAAUUUUGCUUUAUUUUGCCAUGUAGAGAUUUACUGCUGCUGGGGUGAACAAUGCUUAAAAAAAUACAAAUAUGCUGUGUUUUUACUUUGGCCCAGCGGUGGCUCCCACAUUUAUGUCUUUUGUAUUUUUCUAUACCAGUUCUGUUACUGUGCAAAUGCAAAAAAAAAAAAAAAAUACAAGUUGUUCCACUAUUGAUAUUUUUUAUACUAAUUUUUUAUUUAUGUUAUUAAUUAUUUAUUAUUAUCUAAGCAUCUGUUUGUAUUUGAGCUGGGUAACGAAUAUAGAUUCUUGAAUUUAAUUGUUGUUUGUUGCUUUCCUCACUUUUAAACUGUGACCAUGUAAAUUUUGUCUAGAUGGAGAAUGGUAAUGUCUUAGUGUUAAUGAUUAGAUUGAGAAUGGUAAUGUCUUAGUGUUAUUGAUUAGAUUGAGAAUGGUAAUGUUUUAGUGUCAAUGAUAACAGUGAGAAUGGUAAUGUCUUAGUGUUAUUGAUUAGAUUGAUAAUGGUAAUGUCUUAGUAUCAAUGAUUACAUUGAGAAUAGUAAUGUCGUAGUGCCAAUGAUAACAGUGAAAAUGGUAAUGUAUUAGUGUCAUUGAUUAGAUUGAGAAUGGUAAUGUCUAGUGUCACUGAUUAGAUUGAGAAUGGUAAUGUCUUAGUGUCAAUGAUAACAGUGAGAAUGGUAAUGUCUUAGUGUUAUUGAUUAGAUUGAUAAUGGUAAUGUCUUAGUAUCAAUGAUUACAUUGAGAAUAGUAAUGUCGUAGUGCCAAUGAUAACAGUGAAAAUGUUAAUGUAUUAGUGUCAUUGAUUAGAUUGAGAAUGGUAAUGUCUAGUGUCACUGAUUAGAUUGAGAAUGGUAAUGUCUUAGUGUCAAUGAUAACAGUGAGAAUGGUAAUGUCUUAGUGUUAUUGAUUAGAUUGAUAAUGGUAAUGUCUUAGUAUCAAUGAUUACAUUGAGAAUAGUAAUGUCUUAGUGCCAAUGAUAACACUGAGACAAUCAUUAGAUUGAGGAUGGUAAUGUCUUAGUGUCAAUGGUGUAACACUAUGAUUAGAGUGAAAUGGGUCUUACACAUUGUCAACCAAAGAGGUACCAUUUUUGAUCACGCGACCACAUUUUUUUUAGUAAGUUAGCGCCAUGAUGUAUCAAGAGACGGAGGUGUCUCUGUUUUAUGAAAUUGGAUUAAAUAAUAUGAGUACCUAAUUGGAGCUUUUUCUAUGGAUGUAGUUUGUAUUUGAUGUGAAAUAAUUCGUGAUGAUAUUUUAUGGCUGAGAUUGCCUACUUUCUGAACUAUUAUUUGAUGUAAUAAAUAUUUGUCUGCCA
Biomphalaria glabrata is the source of this 4138-nucleotide long non-coding RNA. RefSeq lists it as uncharacterized. The record is from RefSeq and is a predicted model, not a curated record. The transcript is spliced from 9 exons. NCBI's taxonomy places the organism in Eukaryota, Metazoa, Mollusca, Gastropoda, Planorbidae.